AAGACUAUAGACCUGCGGAGUACCUGCGGAAGGAUCAUUACUGAGUGAGGGCCCUCUGGGUCCAACCUCCCACCCGUGUUUAUUGUACCUUGUUGCUUCGGUGGGCCCGCCGUUAAGGCCGCCGGGGGCUUUUGUCCCGGGCCCGCGCCCACCGAAGACAAACUGAACUCUGUCUGAAUGUUGCAGUCUGAGUAAAAACUUAAUAAGUUAAAACUUUUAACAAUGGAUCUCUAGAUCGGA
This 240-nucleotide unclassified non-coding RNA is filed under the name soil metagenome. RNAcentral describes it as "partial contains 5.8S ribosomal RNA, internal transcribed spacer 2, and large subunit ribosomal RNA". The record is from RNAcentral.